UACGGAGGGGGCGAGCGUUAUUCGGAAUUAUUGGGCGUAAAGGGCGCGUAGGCGGCCUUGUAAGUCAAAGGUGAAAUCCCUCGGCUCAACUGAGGAACUGCCUUUGAAACUGCAAGGCUUGAGGCCGGGAGGGGGUAGCGGAAUUCUCAAUGUAGCGGUGAAAUGCGUAGAUAUUGGGAGGAACACCAGUGGCGAAGGCGGCUACCUGGACCGGUUCUGACGCUGAGGCGCGAAAGCGUGGGUAGCAAACAGG
RNAcentral lists this ribosomal RNA (253 nucleotides) under uncultured bacterium. RNAcentral describes it as "partial 16S ribosomal RNA". It matches the Rfam family "Bacterial small subunit ribosomal RNA", at positions 524 to 776 of the family's 1533-position model. The record is from RNAcentral.